RNAcentral lists this ribosomal RNA (495 nucleotides) under uncultured bacterium. RNAcentral describes it as "partial 16S ribosomal RNA". It matches the Rfam family "Bacterial small subunit ribosomal RNA", at positions 28 to 507 of the family's 1533-position model. The record is from RNAcentral.
GACGAACGCUGGCGGCGUGCCUAAUACAUGCAAGUAGAACGCUGAAGGAGGAGCUUGCUUCUCUGGAUGAGUUGCGAACGGGUUAGUAACGCGUAGGUAACCUGCCUGGUAGCGGGGGAUAACUAUUGGAAACGAUAGCUAAUACCGCAUAAGAGUAGAUGUUGCAUGACAUUUGCUUAAAAGGUGCAAUUGCAUCACUACCAGAUGGACCUGCGUUGUAUUAGCUAGUUGGUGGGGUAACGGCUCACCAAGGCGACGAUACAUAGCCGACCUGAGAGGGUGAUCGGCCACACUGGGACUGAGACACGGCCCAGACUCCUACGGGAGGCAGCAGUAGGGAAUCUUCGGCAAUGGACGGAAGUCUGACCGAGCAACGCCGCGUGAGUGAAGAAGGUUUUCGGAUCGUAAAGCUCUGUUGUAAGAGAAGAACGAGUGUGAGAGUGGAAAGUUCACACUGUGACGGUAUCUUACCAGAAAGGGACGGCUAACUACGUG